This 255-nucleotide ribosomal RNA is filed under the name uncultured bacterium. RNAcentral's name for it is "partial 16S ribosomal RNA". It matches the Rfam family "Bacterial small subunit ribosomal RNA", at positions 524 to 776 of the family's 1533-position model. The record is from RNAcentral.
UACGGGGGGAGCAAGCGUUGUUCGGAUUUACUGGGCGUAAAGGGGCGCGUAGGCGGUCGUGACAAGUCACUUGUGAAAUCUCCGGGCUUAACUCGGAACGGUCAAGUGAUACUGUCGGACUAGAGUACAGAAGGGGCAACUGGAAUUCUCGGUGUAGCGGUGAAAUGCGUAGAUAUCAGGAGGAACACCGGUGGCGAAGGCGGGACUCUGGGCCGAUACUGACGCUGAGGAGCGAAAGCGUGGGGAGCAAACAGG